AGAUAUAAUUUCAGCUGUAAGAUAGCCAGCCCAGGUACAGCAGUGAACAACUUAGUACCCUGUCUUGCAUCAUGCUUUUCUUCAGA
This 86-nucleotide small RNA is filed under the name Pongo abelii (Sumatran orangutan). RNAcentral's name for it is "processed transcript". The record is from RNAcentral. Lineage: Eukaryota; Metazoa; Chordata; Mammalia; Primates; Hominidae.